This 73-nucleotide transfer RNA is filed under the name Apaloderma vittatum (bar-tailed trogon). It matches the Rfam family "tRNA". Rfam says of the family: Transfer RNA (tRNA) molecules are approximately 80 nucleotides in length. Their secondary structure includes four short double-helical elements and three loops (D, anti-codon, and T loops). Lineage: Eukaryota; Metazoa; Chordata; Aves; Trogoniformes; Trogonidae. The record is from Rfam by way of RNAcentral.
GGCCAGUUAGCUCAGUCAGUUGAGCGUGGUGCUGACAAUGCCAAGGUCACGAGUUCGAUUCCCGUUCGGUCCC